UCCUCGAUGGUCUAACGGUCAUGAUUUCCGCUUGUCACUCCGAUGAGAACGAGCGCGGGAGACCAGGGUUCGACUCCCUGUCGGGGAG
RNAcentral lists this transfer RNA (88 nucleotides) under Aspergillus fumigatus Af293. It matches the Rfam family "tRNA". Rfam says of the family: Transfer RNA (tRNA) molecules are approximately 80 nucleotides in length. Their secondary structure includes four short double-helical elements and three loops (D, anti-codon, and T loops). Further hydrogen bonds mediate the characteristic L-shaped molecular structure. tRNAs have two regions of fundamental functional importance: the anti-codon, which is responsible for specific mRNA codon recognition, and the 3' end, to which the tRNAs corresponding amino acid is attached (by aminoacyl-tRNA synthetases). tRNAs cope with the degeneracy of the genetic code in two manners: having more than one tRNA (with a specific anti-codon) for a particular amino acid; and 'wobble' base-pairing, i.e. permitting non-standard base-pairing at the 3rd anti-codon position. Lineage: Eukaryota; Fungi; Ascomycota; Eurotiomycetes; Eurotiales; Aspergillaceae. RNAcentral also lists the same sequence under 2 other names. The record is from Rfam by way of RNAcentral.